Dermacentor andersoni is the source of this 2470-nucleotide long non-coding RNA. RefSeq lists it as uncharacterized. The record is from RefSeq and is a predicted model, not a curated record. NCBI's taxonomy places the organism in Eukaryota, Metazoa, Arthropoda, Arachnida, Ixodida, Ixodidae.
UUAUCAGACUUACAGCAAUCGCCGAAAGACAAAAGAAAGGCAAAUGUUGCGUAUUCCUAGGAAUGAAUUCAGACGAGAGAGAUGAAGUAAGAAACAUACGGCUGUUGGGUUUGUCAUGCGCUAGUAGCGCAUGUCACUGCCUGUGCUGUCACUUAGGGAAUCACAGUAUCAUGGAGUCGAUGGUUUAGACCCUUCUGCAUAACCUACAGUUGUGACGCUUUCGUUUUCCUUUCCCCCUCUGAUGAGACAUGCUAUUUAACCUCUCCUUUUCCAUAAUGAUUCAUUUUUUUGGGAGUUAGCGCUGUGUCCGUGUGCUUCGCUUACGUUUGCCUGUUUCUUUUUAUAGCUGUCCCUCAUUUACUCCCCAUUAGUCUAUUAAUGUCUUGCCGCAAAACACCACGGCCGGUACUUUUGCGUUUCCGUUGGCGUUGCUGUAUAUUGGACUACAUAGGUGAAUCACUAUCAUCGAGGCGCGGACGGCCAGGGGUUCGGAAGCAACAUCUGGGGUGAUCACUUCUAGGGGGAUCACUUUCGGAGAUGAUCACACCUGAUCUGAUCUGUGCGCGUAUACGGCCGAAAGCGUUUCUGGCUCUGUGCUAAGCUCGCUUUCUUAUGGUGCACAUAUUUGCUUAAGGUUUCUUGUCCUCACCUCUUUCCCCGUGCUUCUCACAUACGUGUGCGCUGUCUUCUGUUUCAUUGGUGCCGGCAACGAGCGGCGCGAGAUCGACGUGUUCGUGUCCUGCACGCAUCUGUGGGACGAAGACGAUGCAGGCCUUUCGUGCGUCAUCACCGUGUCAAGCGGGGGAAGCAGCACGGGGGCCGACUGCACGAGUCAAACAAGCAAGUUCCAGAGCAGCGGGCUCACCGGACGUGGCGAUGAUGGCGAGGAUCUUCCCACCACGGACUUCGGACGACAAUCCUUCGAUGGGAAGCAACUUGCUGCGAGACAGCCGAACAGCUGCUGACCCAGACUGGAGAGGUUCAGCUCAAACGUCAGGUUUCGAACCUGCGUCCGAGCGGUCACAUUCACCGUCACGAUGACUUGGCGAUUCGCACAAUUGCUGAAAAUUACGACAAACGCGUGUUCACACAUACACAAAAAUAAAGUCUGAAAACACCGCAGGCCAGAAGGCCAAAAGACGACGACGACGAUGGCGACGUGUAACGCCCAUGCCGUGCAAAACAACUCACGCUUCACGUACCCGGAGUCGAACUAACUACAAGUGUUUACGGGGCAGAUUAUGGGUAGCCUAAGGAUAGUUUGGGGCAGGUCAUCGGAAUAGAGCACCGACAAUACAGCGGCUUACCGAGUUGGCAGAGGAAAGACAAGGAUUGGAUGGUUGCUGCAUGGAGUAAAAUAGCUCUGAACGUAAAACCAUGCGCGACUGCAAAAUUUAGCUGAGAUGUUCACAGCAGCGUAUAGUAUUCCCGUACUAUGUUUUUUUCACCAAGCCAACAAGGUGGUUCAAGACUAUUUAACCCUGUAAUACAUAAUUCACUUUCUGUGUACUGCGCAAUUCAGCGUUCUAAGUACAAAUUUGCGCGCGAGAAAAAGAAAUAGCUAAUAUUAAUUAGUUGGAGCCGUGUGUAAGUUGUGAAUAGCUUAGUAAUGUAAUUCCUAACUGUAGUGCUAAUUAUGUAGACCUGUGGUUGGCCAUUACAGGGUUAAAUACAUGCCAGUACUGUUGUUGCAUGAUUCGAACAGCACACUCUGCAAAGUAAGUAUUCGAAACCUUCAGCAACCAGCGGCCUCGUAAAAUGUUCAUAGUGCACCUUAGAGUCAUACCACAGGUUGAGUGCGUGUAAAAAAAAAAUUUAGGGACGACGCAUGCCUUUCAACUGGCGUCUGGGUAUUGAUCGUGUAGAUGGAAAAGACUCGUGCAACUGGCGUUUUGCGCAAGCUUCGCAAUCGCCGCAUAGGACGGAAGAGCCACUUCAAAGUCGCAUGUACUUAUCCCUCCAUUCUGCAGUCUUUCCGCGUACUUUUCGCGGGCACUCCACAUUCACUUUCUUUUCGAACGAAUGGCUGUGCACAGUGCUUAGCCAAAAGCUUCCUUAGAGCAGUUCCAAACAUUCUGCCUCUAGAAAUAAGAUCUCUCUAAUGCAUCUACCGCCUUUCUGCUCUUACGGACGUUCUUCAGAACUUCCGAGUCUCCACUAAGACGUUCCAAACUUUUCGUUUCCCUGUCAGCGACAACAUUGACGUGCGUGCUUGAAUUCGAUGAAUUCAAGCACGCACAAUGAAUUCGAUGUCAUUUUUCUUCCUGUGAAAAAUCACUUCAUUGUACUUUCGUCGUCAUUGCGACAUGUGCGCGCAUGUGGACUAAAACUAAAUGGGGAGAAGAUUGGUUCGACAGUGUCCCCCUCGAUUUAAUUUGUGUAUGCAUUUUGCACGCCCAGGGAAAUGAUUUACCUCCUGUAAGAACGUUCGCAAACUUGGAAAUAAACUUGCUGUCAAUUAACGCCCUGA